AGGGUGUAAACGCUGCAGACUUGGUGUUGGAGGCCCUUUGGGGGCAUUCAGUGCCGGAGAGAAGUUGUUAAGUCUGCUACUUGGGGAGUACGUCCGCAAGGAUGAAACUUAAAGGAAUUGGCGGGGGAGCACCGCAACGGGAGGAGCGUGCGGUUUAAUUGGAUUCAACACCGUAAAACUCACCAGGGAAGACUGUUACAUGAAGGCCGAGAUGAAGACUCUGCUAGAUUUUCAGAGGAGGUGCAUGGCGUCAGUGACU
This 259-nucleotide ribosomal RNA is filed under the name uncultured archaeon. RNAcentral's name for it is "partial 16S ribosomal RNA". It matches the Rfam family "Archaeal small subunit ribosomal RNA", at positions 748 to 1008 of the family's 1478-position model. The record is from RNAcentral.